GGAGGUGAAGGCGAUCUGGCUUUGACAUCUGCCACCUUACUGAUCACCAAGGCUGAUUCAGCUGAUCUAGCUGGUUAGGCAUCUUUUACUCCCUCACUGUUCCAUGUGUGUCAACUUGGUCAAAGACCUUUUCUGUUGGAGAAGGGCCAUUCUUCAGUCAAAAGGACAUGAGUAGCUAUGCCCCCCUGCUAGAACCUCCGCACAAGUUCACAUUCUGAUUUUUGGAUAGUUUUCCCUAAUUACAUACUUUCAGAUAUUGAUUCAGAGGAUAAGAACCAAUAAAAAUGCAUCU
Molecule: unclassified non-coding RNA, 292 nt
Organism: Fukomys damarensis (Damara mole-rat)
Lineage: Eukaryota; Metazoa; Chordata; Mammalia; Rodentia; Bathyergidae
Gene: 7SK
Rfam family: 7SK RNA
About the family: 7SK was discovered as an abundant small nuclear RNA in the mid-70s but a possible function has only recently been suggested. Two independent studies have found that 7SK RNA binds the CDK9/cyclin T complex (known as elongation factor P-TEFb).
Source: Ensembl